CAACAGGGAUUGCCCUAGUAACGGCGAGUGAAGCGGCAACAGCUCAAAUUUGAAAUCUGGCUCUUUUAGAGUCCGAGUUGUAAUUUGCAGAGGGCGCUUUGGCUUUGGCAGCGGUCCAAGUUCCUUGGAACAGGACGUCACAGAGGGUGAGAAUCCCGUACGUGGUCGCUGGCUAUUGCCGUGUAAAGCCCCUUCGACGAGUCGAGUUGUUUGGGAAUGCAGCUCUAAAUGGGAGGUACAUUUCUUCUAAAGCUAAAUAUUGGCCAGAGACCGAUAGCGCACAAGUAGAGUGAUCGAAAGAUGAAAAGCACUUUGGAAAGAGAGUCAAACAGCACGUGAAAUUGUUAAAAGGGAAGCGCUUGCAGCCAGACUUGCUUGCAGUUGCUCAUCCGGGCUUUUGCCCGGUGCACUCUUCUGUAGGCAGGCCAGCAUCAGUUUGGGCGGUAGGAUAAAGGUCUCUGUCACGUACCUCCUUUCGGGGAGGCCUUAUAGGGGAGACGACAUACUACCAGCCUGGACUGAGGUCCGCGCAUCUGCUAGGAUGCUGGCGUAAUGGCUGUAAGCGGCCCGUCUUGAAACACGGACCAAGGAGUCUAACAUCUAUGCGAGUGUUUGGGUGUCAAGCCCGAGCGCGUAAUGAAAGUGAACGGAGGUGGGAACCCGCAAGGGUGCACCAUCGACCGAUCCUGAUGUCUUCGGAAGGAUUUGAGUAAGAGCAUGGCUGUUGGGACCCGAAAGAUGGUGAACUAUGCUUGAAUAGGGUGAAGCCAGAGGAAACUCUGGUGGAGGCUCGCAGCGGUUCUGACGUGCAAAUCGAUCGUCAAAUUUGGGCAUAGGGGCGAAAGACUAAUCGAAC
RNAcentral lists this ribosomal RNA (856 nucleotides) under Ulocladium sp. XGZ-2011a. RNAcentral describes it as "LSU rRNA". It matches the Rfam family "Eukaryotic large subunit ribosomal RNA", at positions 66 to 940 of the family's 3401-position model. The record is from RNAcentral. RNAcentral also lists the same sequence under 2 other names. Lineage: Eukaryota; Fungi; Ascomycota; Dothideomycetes; Pleosporales; Pleosporaceae.